Magnolia sinica is the source of this 535-nucleotide long non-coding RNA. RefSeq lists it as uncharacterized. The transcript has 3 exons. NCBI's taxonomy places the organism in Eukaryota, Viridiplantae, Streptophyta, Magnoliopsida, Magnoliales, Magnoliaceae. The record is from RefSeq and is a predicted model, not a curated record.
CAAUGAUUGUUGCAUGCCACUAUGAAGGUAGAGGAUGGAAAUUUUGGGGAGACAGUAAUUUGAAAAGCAAUUUUUGGGGUCGUUCAAUCCAACUUGAUCCUGUUGAUCUUUUAACUCUCGAGUUUGAUGAUGGUGAAGUUUUUCAGUGGAGCAAGGUCACAACUUUUGUGUUCUACCAAUCACCAAUCACCAAAACUUCGACAGUGUAGGCAUUUUUGUUCCCUUUCAGGAGAUAAUUGAUAUGGAUGAUGGAACAUAUGAAGCUGUUGCAGGAAGUGACUUUGCCUUUACUAGAGUUGCAUUUCGAGACAACUCUUCAAAAUACUACAUAAAUGACCGUGGAAGUAAUUUUACAGAGGUCACUAAGAAAUUGAAAGGAAAAUGAGUGGACUUGGACAAUAAUCAGUUUUUUAUUCUUCAGGUAGGUGAUGGGCUGAUGGCUGAAAAAGGCCCAUUUACUUGUGAAAAAAAUAUCAUACCAUCAAAAUGUAUCUUCUCUUUCAAUUCCUUAUCAUUGAAAUUUCAGGGUGAAGUC